RNAcentral lists this ribosomal RNA (497 nucleotides) under uncultured bacterium. RNAcentral's name for it is "partial 16S ribosomal RNA". It matches the Rfam family "Bacterial small subunit ribosomal RNA", at positions 28 to 507 of the family's 1533-position model. The record is from RNAcentral.
GAUGAACGCUGGCGGCGUGCCUAAUACAUGCAAGUCGAGCGAACAGAUGAGGAGCUUGCUCCUCUGACGUUAGCGGCGGACGGGUGAGUAACACGUGGAUAACCUACCUAUAAGACUGGGAUAACUUCGGGAAACCGGAGCUAAUACCGGAUAAUAUAUUGAACCGCAUGGUUCAAUAGUGAAAGACGGUUUUGCUGUCACUUAUAGAUGGAUCCGCGCCGCAUUAGCUAGUUGGUAAGGUAACGGCUUACCAAGGCAACGAUGCGUAGCCGACCUGAGAGGGUGAUCGGCCACACUGGAACUGAGGCACGGUCCAGACUUCGACAGGGAGCAGCAGUAGGGAAUCUUCCGCAAUGGGGCAAUGCUUGACGGAGCAACGCCGCGUGAAUGAUGAAGGUCUUCGGAUCGUAAAACUCUGUUAUUAGGGAGAUACAAAUGUGUAAGUAACUAUGCACGUCUUGACGGUACCUAAUCAGGAAGCCACGGCUAACUACGUG